CGUAAGGUGCCGGGCGAGUCAUAAUUGGAACGUCGCCCGAUCCCUAGUCGGCAUAGUUUACGGUUGAGACUACGACGGUAUCUGAUCGUCUUCGAUCCCCCAACUUUCGUUCACUGAUUAAUGAAAACAUCCUUGGCAAAUGCUUUCGCAGUAGUUAGUCUUCAAUAAAUCCAAGAAUUUCACCUCUGACAAUUGAAUACUAAUGCCCCCAACUAUCCCUAUUAAUCAUUACAUCAAUCCCUAGAAACCAACAAAAUAGGAUCGAACGUCCUAUUUCAUUAUUCCAUGCUAAUGUAUUCAAGCGUUUGCUUGCUUUAAACACUCUAAUUUUUUCAAAGUAAAGGUCCUGGUUCCCCGCGGCACCCAAUUAAGGACAUCGCGGUUCUCCAGAAGGUGAGAAAUUGACUGCACCAGUUCAUACCCCGUAAGGCACGACCGAUGCGCCAAUCCCGAAAUUCAACUACGAGCUUUUUAACUGCAACAACUUUAAUAUACGCUAUUGGAGCUGGAAUUACCGCGG
Molecule: ribosomal RNA, 520 nt
Filed under: uncultured Entrophospora
Lineage: Eukaryota; Fungi; Glomeromycota; Glomeromycetes; Entrophosporales; Entrophosporaceae
Description: uncultured Claroideoglomus partial 18S ribosomal RNA
Source: RNAcentral